GUGAGGGCCGCUAAAGCUCGCUCCCUCUCCGCCUCCAACUCGGAACCAACAGGAGUCGGAUCGCUCGACCCCGACGGAAAUAUCUCCGCCGCGACUCCCGGCCGUUCUCGACGAGCCGCAGCUGGUGCAGCCACCAGCCGAUCCACCGUUUCUUGGAGUCUUUUCAUUUGUUCCUCCUGGCGCAUUGCAGCUUCCUGCUGACGCUGCACCACAUCAGCCUGUUGCCUCACCACCCUCACGAGUGUGGCCAGCUGUUCACGAAGCUCUGAGUCUCCGCUCGCAUCGAUUUGCUUGGGAACACCACUUGUCCCCUCCCGCGCCGAUCUGGACGAAGAUCGCCUACGCGGUGCCAUCGUUUUCUGAAACACGACAACUCGAUUAGUUCUCGACCAACUUGGGUCGAACACGAGACUACCAACACCGGCUCAAAAGCCAAUCAGGCGAAAGUCACACAAGGGUGUCUAUUCUCAUCACUCGGUUUCAUAUUGUGUGCACCCAACAUGAACACCCUCGAUUGAGAAUAAACAUUACCUUGGAUCUACCUCUAAUAUCUGUUUUAGAGGUUUCGACACAACCCAAUCCAUUAACCUUUCGCCACAAUCACAAGUCCUCGUCUCUCACGAGCCUUAUUCUCUUAUGGUUUUACUAUCCUAGGGUCUCCUAGGUCAUCUAAACCAUUUUCCCAUUCUCUACUUUAUGCUCUGAUACCAUCUUCUGUCACAGCCCGCGACCACUCGCCUAUUUGGCCGAGGUCGCGGCGCCGACAGCGCCGAACGGACAAGGUUUCCCCUGUACUGCGGACAGAGUCUCCCCUGUACGUUCAAGGCAUCGCAAUCAAUACAAUACGAAUGUUCCAACCAGGAACUGAUAUCAAUCAAGAUUGCAUAAUGGAAGGUAUCAAACAACAUAAACACAUCCUAUGUUAUUACACGCAUUCACAUUCACAGAUUUUUACAUCACAGUUCUUUAUACAUUCUCUUUUUUUUUUAUCCAAAUGCAAUCUAGUUAUUACAAAUUUAUUUACAAAUUGAUACAUUGUUUCUUUUCAUUUUCUAUACCCCUAGCCACGUCGACGGGGUACUGCUAGCUCUGGUCUCUGGGUAGGGCGCUAUCUAUGGAGCUACGCCCUUUCCUCGCGCCGCCGCGCCGCUCACGUGCGAACCUGUACCCCCAAAAGCAACACGGGGGUGAGAACUAUAUAAAUAUAGUUCCCAGUGGGUACGGCCACCCAAGGGAAAAGCUCGACCAAAAGGUCCAAGGAGGCACUGCAAUCAUGUUAGUCCAAAAACAUCUAUAGAUAUAUAUCAAAAUGUUAAUAUGCAACUAACAGAUAACAUGCCUCACGAAAUGCAAUAUGCAACUAUCAAAAAGCUCUUUGCUUGUCUUUACAUUUUAGCUAUUUGCUACCAUUCAUUUCCUGCAAUUACUAGCUAUUCCUUAGCAUUAGCCUUUUCAUUAUCUUUCAUUUUCUUUUUCUUUCUUUGCUCUUUAUUCUUUGUACUUGUACUUGGUGCUCUACACCUUACACUUGGGCCCACUAUACUCAUUGGCAAAUUCUUUCUUAAGGUUGCUCUUACCUUAAUCACACUAUGCCACCCGACUCGGUCUUGAGUCAAUCAUCUGCGGAUAGUCCGCGCUCUGUCCGGCUCAAGGUGAAGGACCUCUCACUUACACCUUAGCCUUCAAUCCAUAAUCAAGUCGCCCAACGGGUCGCCCAGAGCUGCGUACACCCGUGGUCAGGGAUCUUUCCGGUGGGAAGGGGAUUAUGCCACAAACUCAACCCGCGGCCCAAGACCCCCGAUAGGGAAGGGGAACAUGCCACACUCAACCCUAGCGAAGCACGAUUCUGCCGGCGGGAGGGGGAACCUGCCACACUCGACCCGCGGCCUCGAUUCAGUCAACAGCUCAUCCUCGAAGUUCGUCCAGUGGGAGGGGAACCUGUCACACUCAACCCACUGCUCUAGAACUGUCGAGUUCACAAUCCUAAGAUUCCGGAAUCUAUUUCCCAAGCCUCUAGGGUAAUCUCAAACCCUAUGAUAUCGACCUAUCUAGGUCCAAUGCACUUUCCAUCCUAGGUCUACCCGACUCUAGGUUUAACGCCCUUAUUACAUAACCAAUGUUCUUUAAACUAGGUUAAUACCUCUCUACCUAGGUUUUUAUUAACCCUAGGUUCAACAACACUAGAAUCAAUGUCAACCUAUGUUCAUAACGCUAGGUUAAUGCCACUCGAUCUAGCCUAGGUUCACGACACUAGGUUCAACAUCAAUCUUAUUCAUCCUAGGUUCUCAAUCCUAGGUUCAUAUUCGACCUAUGUUAAUUACACUAGGUUCGAUAUCAUUCCUGUUUAACCUAUGUUUACUAACACUAGGUUCAAUGCUACUCGAUCUAUAGGUGCAUUUAAGUCCAUAUACACAAGUCCUUUACUUGGCAUUCUUUAACAUGCAACAUGCAUUCAUACAUUAUCUUUUGCAUUCUUACAUUAACCUUUCUAUGCAUGCAUCACGGCCACCACGUAUUAUAUACUUUAUGCUUGUCACUUAGCAUGAUUUACACUAUGUCACUAUGCAUUACUUAGCAUUCUUAACAUGUACUUGUAUUUACUAUUUCCAUAUCAUGCUUAUCAUUAUACUUUAGCAUUCUUAUCUCAUGCAUUCUACUUGGCGUUUGUAUCAUGUUAUCAACAUCAUGCUUUCUACUUAGCAUCUUGCUCUAAGCACUAUCGUUAACAUGCAUCAUUUAUAUUAUUUACCAACAUGCAUUUUAUAAUCUCUAUAUCAUUUACAUGCAUCAACUUAGCAUUUAUACUUUAUUUCGCAUGCUCUCUAGCAUUUAUCAACAUGCAUUUAUCAGCUUGCAUUCAUUAUCAUUCAUUUCUAUAUGCAUCAUAAGAAAUCAUAUUUUCUUAGACAUAAAGGCGACCUAGUCGCUUCGGUAAACCAACCCACCUCGAUUCGCGUUCCGAUUGCUUGUCGACACUUGCAAUCGGCCUCCCGCGGCACCCGUAUCCGGCACGGCCCGAUACUGCAACUGCGCCUCAACCGUGCUCCGCUUCGCAGCCCCGAAAAUUAUAGGUCUUCGGUUAUGUGCCACGAUACCUCAAAUCCAUUUCCAUGAUUUUACGACGUCGCCUCGGCCCUCCCGGCGGACCCGAAGCCUAAACGUUUAUUUCUUUAAUAAUUUUGUAACGGCUCGUCGGAUUGCCGAACCGUCUUUGCCAACGCGUUUCGUUACCUAGCAAUUAGGUUUACGAAGGGUCAAAUGAGAUUAAACCCGCAUAUUUUGAAAGUUUGCAUUUUGGAGCCCUAGGUUACAACUAUGCAAGAAAUCACUAAAUUGAUCCAUGAUUCAAGCAUUAAUUAUCUAGAUAGCAUGCUAGGACUCCUCUAAAUCCAUUUAUAAGGUAUUUAAAUCAAGCAUUAAAGAUCUACCAUUAAAGGGCUCAAGAAGCUCACCUCAAAAUGAGCUCCAAACCAUGGAGAAGAUGAAAAAGACGAAGACGAUCCACCUCCAAGCUUCAAUCUCCACCAAAUCCAUUCUUUUUGGGAGAGAUUUAGAGAGAGAAAGAGAGGCUUCUCUCUUCCCUUCCAUGCGCGUGUGUNGAGCCUUGGGCGGAUAGGGGAAACUCUGUCCGUUCGGCGUCUGUUUGACGUGCUCGGGUCGGGCCAAAUUGGCAUCGGUCCCGGGGCGUGACACUACAAUCGCGAAAAACCCCCUGCAGACCAAACUGCACAAAAACUGCCUCCUUGUACCGGUACACGGGUUCUUGUACCGGUACAAGGCCAACGAAAAUGCAAACCCGAGGCUCGGGUCGCGCGGUCUGCGGCUCUGUACCGGUACAAGCCCGAUGGCUGUACCGGUACAACCAUCAACCCUUGUACCGGUACAAGGCCAGUCUUGUUCCAGUACAAGCCCUGCUGCAGGCUACCCGAGAGCUGUCCAAAAAUUCCGAUUUUGGAAUUUUGGUGCCAAGUCUCACUCCAACAUGCUCGGGAUGCGUGCCAGGGGUCGGAACACUAUCAACGACCCUCCAAAAACUGUGGGAAUGCCCCAAACACAGAUCAAACACUCGAAUCUUGCGAUUUGCUAAGAUCCAGUGUAUUACAAGGGCUCAAGAAGCUCACCUCAAAAUGAGCUCCAAACCAUGGAGAAGAUGAAGAAGACGAAGGCGAUCUACCUCCAAGCUUCAAUCUCCACCAAAUCCACUCUUUUUGGGAGAGAUUUAGAGAGAGAAAGAGAGGGUUUUCUCUCUCCCUUCCAUGCGUGUGUGCGUGUGUUGUGUGUGUGCGGUUGAGGCAGCCACGGUUGGGAGGAGAAGAAGAAAAGGGGUUUUAAACUCUUUUUACCAUUUUGCCCCUCAACUACGCACUAUUCACUUCGGCCAGUUUAUUUUUCGCCGGAGUCCUUCUGAACGUCCGUUUGAACUCAAAUUUGACAGGCAUGCUCAAUAUUACUUAAUAAGUCCAAAAAAAUUUUAAUGUUUCAGUUUCGACCCCGUUUGGUCACUGAAAACUGUACCGAACUGCAUUCUUUAUCAGAUAGCUUUCGGAUUCUAUUUCUCUCUCUACGGGUGUCAGAAUGGUAUGAAACUUUAAAUCUAGCCUCAUAAAAAUAUUUCUGACAUCCCCGCCAAUUUUCAUAAUUUUCUGAGACUGUACAUUUUCUGCUAAUUUAUCAGUCCCGUUUCUAACAGAAAAUUCUAAAUCUUCUGUUUUCGCUCCGAUUUCAACACAGGUCGCUCCCAACCGAUAUUUCACUUCUCUAAAUCUAAUAAAAUAGUAUCUCAUACUAUUUUUAUUUAUUUUUUUCUCUUUUAUAUUUAAAAUCCGGUAUGUUACAUUCCACCGCAACCUCACCGGAACCAUUUAAAUGUACACCGUAACUUCAUAAUUUUAGAAGUCCGGUACCUUACAUUCUCCUCUCCUUAUAAAGAGUUUCGUCCUCAAAACUCAAACCACAUCUCCACUCGAUUUAUCGAGCUAGCGAGGGUACCAACAUGCCUUUCCACUCCGAUUCCGACCACCGGCAUUGCAUAACGACAAUAUCAUUGGUGCAUCGGCCAAUCGCGAGUGCUUCAACUUCAACCGAACCCUUGCUCUAUCACGAGAUGGCACACUCCCGAACAUCUCAGAUCUCAAUCCUCUUUGGGAGCAAUAUCCGCACGUGGCUAUCGGUCACUCAAGUGCCUCCUAGAGACCACUUAACUUUAUCCUUUGUUACCAUAAGCCACGCUCAAAAUCACACGAACCCUCCGUUCGUGAAUCUAAGCCCAACUCACUAACAGAGUUGCCAACCGCACCGAUCAUCGGUUUUCACAGGCGGAUCAACGGUCGUAGCCAUUACGUAGGCUUACCGCCUAUACCUGGCGCAACUACGCCUAGCGUCUCUCGUUCGCACGUAGACCCAAUCAUCAUUCCCGGGCGACAUCCUUAUUGGAGAACUCGCACACACUCCAACCAGGAGCUAUCAAGACCUCAAUCAGUCGGGUCACCACACACUCGGUGUAUCAUCAAUCUCGCACUCUACCACAUGACAUUCCACGUACUCGGGUCUAAGCUCGGACUACCGUCCUGACCAACACUCUCGCCCUACCAAUAGGUAUCGGGCCGCUGUCUCUCACAGCUGACUGCGCCUGCCCAAUGGGCCCAGGCUCCACAGUCCACAAGUGGUCCAGGCACGGGUCGUCCCCGAGCACUACCCGCCAACGUCGUCCUACACGACAUGCUCUACAGAGCUACAAGUACCACUAUCGGCUCCUAAGCACCUAGUGCGAGCCACCAGCCCCACGAGUGAUCCAUGGCCCGCUUCACACUUAGCCCUGCUAAAGUGCUACUGCCAAUUCACUCAACCGGCUGAAUCGAAACCGCACCUCACGAGUAACUAUACUCGAGUGCUCCACGCCUCUACAGCGUCUCACACGAAAUCCAGCAUCAGGCAACUUGCCUAUGCACGUCAACUACACGAGCACAACUCGUCCACCUCAACAUCGAGGUACUACUAGGCCAACAGGCCCGCGUCCGUCAACUACACGGCUACUCUCACCACAGUGGUUCUACUUUCACUAUCCGAUCUACUGGAACACAUUCUCAACUCCCGAGUCUUUCGGGUAUCAUCACAUCAAGGCUCAACUCUCGUAAUUCUCUAUACCAUUGUUUCGAGAGUCACUUACCAAAUCAUGUUUUCCACGAGCCUCAUUCUUUACCUGAGAAUCCUCACUAGCCAUUAGCUAGCACCCUUUAGCUCUCUACCAGCACCAACAGGUGCUACAUUCUCACGAUGUCAGCAUGCUCGGGUAUCUACCUCUACCCGUCCCAACGGUCCCUACUAUGCAAUGUAUAAAUAGUAGCAACAGACCAACGAUGAAUGCAUGCUAUGCAUCAACCUGAGAUUAUGCAAAAGUAUAUGCUUGCUCAACUAACUCAUACCUGCCACGAUGUCGUCGGCAACGGCAGGUUCCACAGCUCGGGUCGCUUAUCCAUGGCCACUUGGCGCUCGUCGCGAACCCUCUGGCAGCAUCAUCCUCAACGGCCGCUCCCCCGACCAUGCCGCAGGUGGCACCCCUGCCGGCUGUCCCAGAGAGGAAUGGACCGUCGCUAGUGUCAAGGCCCGGCUAUCACCCUGCGGACACUCGUCCCGCACAUGACCCGGCAGCCCACACUUGAAGCACUUACCCUCAUGCUGCUCACACUGCUGUGGGAAAUGAGGGCCUCCACAAAUAGCACAUCUCGCCGAGGACCGAAUACGGUAUGUCCCCGGAGCUCGGGAUCGCGAGUGCGAAGUCCUUUGGGAACUCGAUUGACCACUGGAUCCACCUGUCGGUCGUCCUUUCCCCUUUUUCCUUGUAAUACGACUCGCGCUCUUCCCGCAUAAACGCGUUGCCCUGUUCUAUCCACAAGGCCCGAUCCAGGACUUCAGCAAAAGUCUGCAACCUGUGUACAUUCACAGCCUUGUAGAGGUCUGACCGAAGUCCACGCACAAAGCAGUCGGCCUUGUCCUUGUCACCCCGCACCACGUUCGGGAUACAAUGCACGAUACGGGAGAAUUCCCGCUCGUAUUGCCUGACCGAGCGGUCACCUUGCCGCAGCUUCCAGAACCUCUCCUCAAGCUUUUUCCUUUCACUGUCGGGGAAAUAAGCAGAGAACAACAUUCCCCGAAACUCUUCCCAAGUCAUUGGAGGGAGACUAGGCGAUCGAUCUCGCUUAACGCCUUUCCACCACACCUUCGCCGAUUGUUUCAAGUAGUGCACGGCUAGGUUUACCUUGUCCCGCUCCUCAGUGUACAGAUCCUCGAAGAGUGUUUCUAUGGAAUCAAUCCACAUUUCUACGAUCCACGGAUCUGUGUCCUCACCAUCAAAGGUAGGCGGAUCAAAUUUCUUGAAAGCCAUGAGGGCAGCCAAAGCUCGCUCCCGUUCCGCCGCCACCUCUGAACCAACAGGAGUCGGAUUACCCAACCCCGACGGAAACAUCUCUGCCGCGACUCCCGGCCGUCCAUGACGAGCCGUAGCUGGCGCAGCCACCAGCUGAUCUAGCGUCUCUUGGAGUCGUUUCAUUCGCUCCUCUUGGCGCAUGGCGGCCUCCUGCUGCCGCUGCACCACAUCAGCCUGUUGCCUCACCACUCCCACGAGUGUGGCCAACUGAUCACGAAGCUCUGCGCCUACGCUCGCUUCGACUUGCUCAGGGACACCACUUGUCCCCACCCGCGCCGAUCUGGACGAAGAUCGCCUACGCGGUGCCAUCGUUUCCUGAAACACGACAACUUGAUUAGUUCUCGACCAACUCGGGUCGAACGCGAAACCAUUAACACCGGCUCAAAAGCCAAUCGGGCGAAAGUCAUGCAAGGGCGUCUAUUCUCAUCGCUCGGCUUCAUGUUGUGUGCACCCAACAUGAACACCCUCGGUUGAGAAUCAACAACAUCUUGAAUCUACCUCCAAUAUCCGUCUUAGAGGUUUCAACACUUAACACAAUCAAUUAUCUUUCGCCAUAAAUCACAAAUCCUCGUCUCUCUCACGAGCCUUAAUCUCCUAGGCUUUUACUAUCCUAGGGUCUCCUAGGUUUGCCUAAACCAUUCCUAUUUUCUACUUUAUGCUCUGAUACCACAACUGUCACGACCCGCGACCACCCGCCUAUUUGGCCGAGGUCCCGGCGCCGCCGACAUCGCCGAAUGGACAAGGUUUCCCCUGUACAACGGACAGAGUCUCCCCUGUACAUUCAAGGCAUUGCAAUCGAUACAAUUCACGAAGGUUCCAACCAGGAACAGAUAUCAAUCAACAGAUUGCAAGAGGAGGGUAUCAUACAACAUAAACACAUCCUAAAUUAUUACAUUCAUUCGCAUUCAUAGUGUUUACAUCACAAUUACCAUUCUUUUACAUUCGACCUCCAAUCACAAUCUAAGUUAUUACAACUUAAACAAGCUCGAUACAUUUCUUUUCAUUUCUUUUAAACCCUUAAGCUAGACUGCCACAGGGUACAACUAUCUCAGUCUCUGGGGUAGGACGCUAUCUGCAGAACUACGCCCUCACCUUGCGCCGCCGCGCUGCACACGUGUGUACCUGUACCCCCAAAAACAGCAACACGGGGGUGAGACUAUUGUCCAUAGUCCUCAGUGGGUUUAGCCACCCAAGAGAACAAGCUCAGCCAACAGGUCUAACGAGGCACUGCAACAUGUUAGUUCAACAAUAUACAACAGAUAUAUAUAUUCAAUUGAAAUACAUGUCAUGCCUCACGAAAUGCAAUAUGCAAAACCUGUAAUCAUGCAAGUAGGUUACUUUAACGCUACUUUUGCUCUUAACCAUUCUUUAUUCUUUGUCAUUUAACGCUUACUUUUAGCUCUUAGCUAUUCUUUACUUGUAACCUCUCUUUAGCUAUUCUUUAUCAUUUAGCUAUUCUUUACUCUUAACAUUCUUGAACCAUGCUAUAUCUUAGCCUUUGGCAUUCUACUCUAAGGUCACUUUANGAAGGCUCCGUACAGAAUGGCACCUGCUGAGUUGAGAGAAUUGAAAGCUCAGUUGCAGGACUUGAAGGAUAAAGGCUUUGUAAAGCCUAGUGUAUCACCGUGGGGAGCUCCAGUUUUAUUUGUAAAGAAGAAAGACGGAACGUUUCGGCUUUUCGUUGAUUAUCGUGAACUGAACAAGAUCACGAUAAAGAAUAAAUAUCCGUUGCCGCGAAUUGACGACUUAUUUGAUCAGUUGCAAGGAUCGCGAGUAUAUUCGAAGAUUGAUCUUCAAUCGGGUUAUCACCAAUUGAAAAUCAAGCCAGAGGAUGUGCAUAAGACAGCGUUUCGCACUCGCUAUGGUCACUAUGAGUUUACAGUAAUGCCGUUUGGGCUUACCAACGCCCCGGCAGCGUUCAUGGAUCUGAUGAACAGGAUCUUUAAGCCACUGUUGGAUCAGUGUGUAGUGGUGUUUAUAGAUGACAUCCUGAUCUUUUCUCGAAGUAAUGAGGAGCAUGAAGAACAUUUAAGAAUAGUAAUGCAAAUUCUGCGGGAAAAGCAAUUGUAUGCCAAAUUGAAGAAAUGUGAAUUUUGGCUACGAGAGAUUGCAUUUUUGGGACACGUGAUUUCUGAGGGUGGUGUUUCUGUUGACCCAAAGAAACUAGAGGCAAUUAAAGAUUGGCCUCGCCCGACGACUGUUCCAGAGAUCCGCUGUUUCCUUGGACUUGCUGGAUACUAUAGGCGGUUCGUGGAGGGGUUUGCGAAGAUUACUACUCCACUAACGCGCCUUACACACAAAGGAGUUAAAUAUGUUUGGAGCGAGGAAUGUGAUCGUAGCUUUCGGGAGUUGAAAGAAAGGUUGACUUCGGCUCCUAUUCUCGCCUUGCCUAUUUCGGGAGAAAGCUAUGUGGUUUAUAGUGACGCUUCCUACAGUGGGCUUGGGUGUGUACUUAUGCAAGGUGGUCGAGUGAUUGCUUAUGCAUCUCGCCAACUGAAGACUUAUGAAAAGAAUUAUCCUAUCCAUGAUUUAGAAUUGGCGGCAGUGAUCUUCGCACUGAAGUUGUGGAGACAUUAUCUUUAUGGCGAGCAUUGUGAAAUCUAUACUAAUCACAAAAGCCUGAAGUAUUUAUUCACCCAAAAAGAACUGAAUAUGCGACAACGCCGGUGGUUAGAAUUGUUGAAAGAUUAUGACGUGAAUAUUCUAUACCACCCGGGAAAGGCAAAUGUGGUUGCGGAUGCACUGAGUAGGAAGUCAGUGGAGAACUUGGCUAUGUUGAUCACACAUCAACCGUCAUUGUGGAAGGAAAUGUGGCGGUUUGACCUUGAGGUAGUAGCUCCAGAGGUACCAGCUAUACUCGCCGCUUUAGUUGUUCAACCGACUUUGUUGGAACGGAUUAAAGAUCGACAAUCUUUAGAUCCAUAUCUCCAAAAGGUGCGGUGUGAAGUUGAGAGCGGGCGUGGUGAUGAUUUUACAGUGGGAUCUGACGGAGCACUUCGGUUUCGAAACCGGUUGUGCGUGCCCAAAGACGAGGAGAUUCAGCGGGCUAUUUUGCAGGAGGCUCAUCAGUCAUCUUAUAGUAUACAUCCAGGUGGCACUAAGAUGUACAGGGAUCUUAAAGUGCAUUAUUGGUGGCCUGGAAUGAAGAAUGAUGUUGGACAGUUUGUGGCGCAAUGUUUGACUUGUCAGCAGGUUAAAGCUGAGCGCAGAUUUUCCGCGGGAAAGUUACAGAGCUUGCCUAUUCCAGUUUGGAAGUGGGAGAACAUUGCGAUGGACUUCAUUGUUGGAUUACCUCGAUCGCAGGCUGGACAUGAUACCAUUUGGGUGAUUGUUGAUCGAUUGACGAAAUCGGCGCAUUUCUUGCCAAUUCAUAUCACUUGGUCAGGGGACAAGCUAGCACAGGUGUACCUCGACGAGGUUGUGAGAUUACACGGAGUCCCGACGUCGAUUGUAUCUGAUCGAGAUCCGCGGUUUACGUCUCACUUUUGGAGGAGCCUACAGGAUGCUCUUGGCACACGUCUUGACUUUAGUACAGCCUUUCACCCUCAGACCGAUGGACAGUCUGAGAGGACGAUCCAGAUUUUGGAGGACAUGUUACGGGCGUGUGUGCUUGACUUCAGAGGGAGUUGGCAUGACUCCUUGGCGAUGGCUGAGUUUGCAUAUAAUAACAGUUAUCAAGGAAGUAUCGCUAUGGCACCGUUUGAAGCCUUAUACGGGAGAAAAUGUCGAUCCCCUAUCCAUUGGAGUGAGGUAGGAGAAAGGACUGUUCUUGGUCCUGAGGUACUCCAGGAGGCGGAGGAAAAGGUACGCCUAAUCCGCCAGAGAUUGUUGACGGCCCAGUCACGGCAGCAGAGUUAUGCAAAUAAGCGCCGAAAGGACUUGGAAUUUGCAGUGGGUGAUCGGGUGUUAUUGAAGGUGUCACCAAUGCGGGGAAUGAAAAGAUUUGGAGUUCGAGGAAAGCUUAGUCCUCGAUACAUUGGACCUUACGAGAUCCUAGAGCGGGUUGGAGCAGUAGCUUACAGAUUGGCUCUACCGCCAAAACUUGAAGGAGUUCACAAUGUGUUUCAUGUUUCAAAUCUCCGAAAAUAUGUGCAUCAUUCAGGGCAUGUCCUAGAGUACGAACCAGUGGAGUUGCAGGAGAACAUGACUUACGAAGAAUAUCCAAUCUGCAUUUUGGAUCGCAAGGAUAAGGAAUUGCGAAAUCGCACCAUUCCCUAUGUGAAGGUUCAAUGGAGCAAUCACUCAGGUCGUGAGGCGACUUGGGAAUUGGAAAAUGCCAUGCGUGAAGCCUAUCCCCAUCUAUUCAACCAGGUGAACUGAGGUAUGAAUUUAAGUUUCGAGGACGAAACUAUUUUAGGAGGGGAGAUUGUAAUAGACUGAAAAUUGCUUAUAAGCUAAUUGUGAUUAAAGUAGUCACAAUAAUGCUAAAAUGGAAAUUAAAGGUUUCUAAACCUAAGUAGAGGUUUGAGAUCAGUCAUUGAGUCAUGUUGGAAGUGUGAGAAUAGAAAUAAAUGGGAUUGAAAUGGUUAAAGAACUCCAAUCGCCGUUAUUACUCUAUUGCUGAAAUUUUAGUCAACUUGGUCGAAAAAUGAUCAAGUUGAUGCUAAUUCGAAAAUGGAUUGCUUCCAAACUAUUUUGGUAGCUUGGGAAGCUUCUUUGGAAGGUUUUAGAAGUGUUGGAAUGAAAUUGGAGUGAAUUGAAUGCGAGAAACAAGAGAUUGGACAAGCUGCUGCUGCUGCUGUUAAUAUUGUCACCAGGGCUUCUUGUACCGGUACAAGAAGCCUAUACCGGUACAGCAGUUGCGGGCAGCACUUGUCCACCAAUGCAAUUUCAUGGAUUUAAAGGGCUAAAUUGCAAUUUUUCACCCUUAUCACUUCACCCUUAGUGGAAUACACUUGUCUAAAUAUCAGAGAUUCCAUUCCCUUCAUUUCUUAUCAUCUAAUUCCUUCUCUCUUUCUCUCUAAGUAAAGAAAGGGUUGAGGGGAAAUUGGAGUUGGCAGCUUGGAGGGUUGUGGGCUGAAGGAGAAGACCUGAUCCAAUCAUAGAAUUGCUGCUGAUUGGAGUUGCUAGAUCACCUGGAACAGCAACUAAUCAAGGUAAACUUGAUUAAGACUUAUGGAUUUCUUGUUAAUUACCUUGAAAAAGAUGUUUAUAUGGACUCUUGGGGGUUAGCAGCUUGAUGGUUUGGGCUUAUUGAUGCUGCGAGCAGAGACUUCAGCAGAGAGAGCUUGGAAUUGGGGUAUGUAUAUAUUGCUUCUCAGCUGGGAGCUUAGUAGGUGCUGUAGGGAAGCCUCUAAAUGAAUAAUUGAGACAUGUAAUGCAGGAAAAUUCAGUUUGGGGCUGAUCUGGUACUCGCAGGCUACCAAGCUGAAGUGAAGUUGAUGUUGUUGGUGCUGUUGUGCUGCCGAAAUGCAGGGGUGACCCAUUUCAUGCAGUGAGCAAGCUAAAUUAGCACUAAGUUAAAGUAAGUUCACUCCACAUCUAAAUAUAGUCCAAGUAGUUACUUUAGAAUGGAUCAAACUAAGAGUUCGAUUGCUGAAAUUCAGAUUUGGAGCUGAAAAUUGCAAUCUUGGUGGAACUUGGAGAAUUCCUGCAGCAGUGACCCUUUGGUAUAGCUUUUAACUAAGUUAAUAUCAAUUAUUAAGUAAUUAACUAGGAGUUAAUUACAUCUGGACUGAUUUACAUGAAGGAAUUGCUGCGAGAAGUAGAAUAAUAGAAGCUUCAGCUGAGUGAAGUUGAUGCAUUAGUGCUGAAAUUCCAACAUGGUUCAUGAUUUCAGCACUCGUAUAGAGUUGAGUAAUGAACUGAAAUAAAAGGCUUCAAGGCAGUAAUUCUUGCUAAUUGAACUAAGCGUUCUAGACUUAUAGUAGUUGCUCGACGAAGAGGUGAAUUGCUGAAAAUUCAGCAUUUGGCAACAUUUCAGUCUAGUGUAUGUACUUGGAGUUGGAAAUGCUAACUUGCAAAAUUUGAACAUGUGACUUUAGUUUAACCUCUUUUGUUAUCUUAUAAGUGAAAGUUAUUUAUUCUCGAAAGUCUAAAUUGACUUUCCGACAGGUCGGUGACGCGCUAACUACGAUAGAAGCCAUUUUGGCUCUAAUUGCUUCUAGUCGUGAGAUACCCUCGUGGAUUCACUUCGAGACGUGAGAUUUGAUUUGCGACACCACUACAGGUGGGUGGUGCUAUCCGAAAUCUUUGAAUCACCUUUUAUGUCUAUUGUAAUUCAUUGAGCAUAUUUACAUUGUAUUCACGCAUUAUAGGGUUUUGAUAUUAUGUAGUGAUAUUGAUUAUGCAAAUUCUUAUUGAAAAUGAGAACAUGUGAACAUAGAAUGUGGACAUAGAACCCUAUGAAUGCAUGGACUAUAACAAUAGUGAACUUGGUGACAUUCUAACUAGAGGUUUGGUUAGCAUCGAGAAAUGAAUUUGUGAAACUAGCAUAAAGAACUAGUUAGAGUAAAGUGUGACAGUGUUUGUCAGUUGAAUCCUCUAAAGGGGGAUCAGAUCAUACUCACAUUUGUUUGGUUCAAGUGAGGUCGCUCCUCCUUGAACGAUGAGCUCCGGAGUAGUCAUCUUUACUGGACUAGGAGGUUGCGUCUCCCCCAGUUUAGUCCUGUCGGGUGCAGGUUGCGUCUCCCCGAUAUUUGGGAUAGUGUCAGUGAGUGAUUGUUAACCAAAUGGGUUAACCAAUGAAUUGGGUAAAUUCAGUAAAAAGCAUGCAUGCAUAUUUACAGUUUACAUAUAUUGCUUUCUUUCAGCUUUGUACAGGCAUUGUAGUAGUUACAUGUUAUAGUUGGUUACUAUCUGUUUACUCCUUUUGCCUACAUAUACCUGAAUAGACCUAGUGGGUGAGUCGGCGAGGUCGGCAGCCGAACCCACUGGGAACUUUCUUGUAGUUCUCACACCACUAACCACACAGGUUCCAGUGCGAGCGUCGUGGCCAUGGAUCGCGGCAAGGGCCCCGCAGCUUAGCUAGCUGACACCAGAGUAUAGUGGUUACCAUUUUGGCUUUAUGUAUCAUCUAGUUCGAUGUACAGAGACAUGUAAAUGAAUGUAUAAUAGAAUAUGUAAAUAACUAAAUGAUUUCAUAUUCAGUUAUGUAAAAUUCAGUUUGAAAGUUUUAAAUUACAGUGAAUUUCAUAUUUAGCUAGCUUUACUAUCACUUGUGAUUGUUGCUUGCCUUCGUGCAAGCCAUGUAUACUGAAAUGUGAUCUUGGGAAUUGUUUAUUUCUCUAUACAUGUACUCGUUGUUGUUGAGCCUUGGGCGAACAGAGGAGGUGCUGUUCGUUCGGCGUCUGUGUACGGGCCCGGAUCGACCAAAUUGGCGAUAGCGGGACGUGACACGAAUGUCCAUACCGCGUACGGAACGCGGUCUUCGGGACAUCCUCCGGCUUGAUCUUCAACUGAUGGUAGCCGGAUUGAAGAUCAAUCUUCGAGUACACUCGCGACCCCUGUAACUGAUCAAACAAGUCGUCAAUGCGGGGUAACGGGUACUUGUUCUUCACAGUGACCUUAUUCAACUCGCGGUAGUCCACGCAGAGUCGAAAAGAUCCGUCUUUCUUGCGCACAAACGAUAAUGGGGCUCCCCAUGGCGACACGCUCGGCCUAAUAAACUCCUUGUCAAGAAGAUCUUGCAACUGAUCUCUCAACUCUCUCACCUCAGCCGGCGCCAUGCGAUACGGGGCCUUCGAUAUCGGCGCGGUUCCGGGAAUUAAGUCUAUCAUGAACUCAAUCUCCCGGUCCAGCGGCAUCCCCGGUAACUCUGCCGGAAACACAUCUGGGAACUCCCGCACAACCGCCAAUUCUUCGAGAGUCGGAACUACUCGAUCGACUUCCACGACAGUCGCCAAAUAAGCCGUGCAACCACUGUUGACUAGCUUCCUCGCUCUUGUCGCCGAUACCGUCGCGGCGAAACACGAACUCUUGCAAGCUCGAUACGUGAACUCCUCGUGUCCCGGCUCCCGAAAUGUGAUCACUCUGGUCUUGCAAUCAAUGGACACAUAAUACUUCGAGAGCAAGUCCAUGCCCAAUAUUAUGUCGAACUCUUUCAAUCUCUUGAGUGCCAGCAGAUCGAUCGGCAUGACCCAGUCGCCUACUUGCACUGGGCACGCUAAACACCGCUUCCUUACAAUGAAUGAUCGCCCGGGUCCUUCUACAUGCCAAACGUUCUCCCCUAGACGAAUCACAACAUCAUGCUCUAGAGCAAACGAUCGACUAAUGAACGAGUGAGAUGCACCUGUAUCGAAAAGAGCUCUCGCUCGAACACCGCUAACCAAAACCAUACCUGCUACCACAUUGCGCUCCUCGGCUUCGGUGGGCUCCUCGACUUGCACUUGAGCGGCAUACAUUCGGCCACUCGGAGCCGAUCGUGCGGGUUCAGGUUGGCGUGGCGCAGCCGCACGUCCAGCCGACGCCACAGCAGGUGGAGCUCCAUAACGAGCCGGAAUCGCCUGGGCCGAUGCAACAGACGGGGCAGGAAAAGCCCCUCCCUGAGGACAGUCACGUACCAUGUGUCCGGCUUGCCCGCACCUAAAACACUUUCCUCGGCGCUGCUCACAUACACCGGGUCGGUGGUCACCGCCACAGAAGAUACAACGCUGUGCUCCGCGGCCCUUCGACUGCGAUCGUGGAUACUUCGGGGGUCUUCUGGAACUCGAUUGUCCCCCCGAACUACCGCCCGGUCGCUUCUUCCCUUUAUCCUUCUCAUAGGUCUCACGGUUCUCACGCUCGCAAGCGUUCCCGUGCUCGACCCACAAGGCACGGUCCAAGGCCUCUGCGAAGGUGUGGAACUUGAAAGCAUGGACCGUCCUAAACACUCCGGGUCGGAGUCCCCUCACGAAGCAAUCUGCUCGGUCUUGCUCCGUCGUCGGAACGUCCGAGACGCAGUUCAAAAGAUGAGUGAACUCCCGCUCGUACUCCCGAACCGUCCGAUUGCCUUGUUUGAGCUUUCUGAAGUCUUCCCGCAUAUUCCUUUUAUCACUGUUGGGAAAGUACUCUGCGAACAUCAAUCUUCGGAACUCCUCCCAAUCGAUCGGGGGAAGAUCCGGAGAUCGAUCCUGUUUCACUCUCUUCCACCACACUCGGGCCCGCUUGUUGAAACAGUGUGCGGCCAAAUUCACCUUGUCCCGCUCCUCGGUAUUGUCACAGCCCGCGACCACCCGCCUAUUUGGCCGAGGUCGCGGCGCCGACAGUGCCGAACGGACAGGGUUUCCCCUAUACUACAGACAGAGUCUCCCCUGUACGUUCAAGGCAACGCAAUCAAUACAAUACGAGGGUUCCAACCAGGAACUGAUAUCAAUCAAGAUUGCAUAAUGGAAGGUAUCAAACAACAUAAACACAUCCUAAGCUAUUACAUUCAUUCACAUUCAUGCAUUUUACAUCUCAAUUCUCAAUUGCUUUAACUUCCAAAUACAAUCUAAGUAGUACAUCGUUUACUUAUUACAAUUUGAUACAUUCGCUUUCUUUUCAUUUCCUUUACCCCUAAGCUUUGUAGACGGGUACUGCUAGCUCUGUCUCCGUGGUAGGGCGCUAUCUACGGAGUUACGCCCUUUCCUCGCGCCGCCGCGCCGCUCACGUACGAUCCUGUAACACCCCAAAACAACGUGGGGUGAGAACCAACUCCAUGGUUCCCAGUGGGUACGGCCACCCAAGGGAAAAGCUCGACCGACAGGUUCAAAGGAGGCAACUGCAGGUUAGUUUAAUAAACAGAUAGAUAGAUAUUUUGACUAUGCAAUUAAUAGAACCAUACCUUGCCUCGCAAUUGUAACAAUGCUAUGCAAUAUGCAAUACCUGUAAAUCAUGCAAGUAGAUUACUUGAUCUACUUUAUAUCAUUAACCAUACUUUACUUGUAGCCGUUCUUUUCUUUAUUAGCUAUUCACGUUCGUUAGUUAUUCUUUAUUCUUUACUCUUUGUCUUAUUGUGCUCACUGGCGAUUCUUUCCUAAGGUUAUUUUACCUUAGCCAUCUAUGCCACUCGACUCGGUCUCGAGUCAAUCAACUGCGGAUAGUCCGCACUCUGUCCGGCUCAAGGUGAAGGACCUCUCACUUACACCUCAGCCUUCAGUCUACAAACAUCUCGCCAACGGGUCGCCCAGAGCUGCGUACACCCGUGGUCAGGGAUCUUUCCGGUGGGAAGGGGAUUAUACCACAAACUCAACCCGCGGCCCAAGACCCCCGAUAGGGAAGGGGACAUGCCACACUCAACCCUAGCAAAGCACGAUUCUGCCGACAGGAGGGGGAACCUGCCACACUCGACCCGCGGCCUCGAAUCAGCCUCAAGCUCAUCCUCGAAGUUCGUCCAGUGGGAGGGGACCCUGUCACACUCAACCCACUGCUCUAGAACUGUCGAGUUCACAAUCCUAAGAUUCCGGAAUCUAUUUCCCAAGCCUCUAGGGUAAUCUCAAACCCUAUGAUAUCGACCUAUCUAGGUCCAAUGCACUUUCUGUCCUAGGUCUAGCUGACUCUAGGUUUAAUGCCUUUUUUCACAUAACCUAUGUUCUUUAAACUAGGUUAAGCCUCUCUACCUAGAUCUUAUUAACUCUAGGUUCAACAACACUAAGUUCAUUGUCAACCUAGGUUUACCAACACUAGGUUCGAUAUCGAUUUACCUAGACCUUGAAUCUAGGUUCAUUAUGUUCAACCUAUGUUCACGACACUAGGUUAAUGCCACUCGAUCUAGCCUAGGUUCACGACACUAGGUUUAACAUCAUUCAUAUUCAUCCUAGGUUCUUGACCCUAGGUUCAUAUUCGACCUAUGUUAAUUACACUAGGUUCGGCGCCACUCGAUCUAGUUGGCCCUACUUGUCCACAUCGAGUUUCUAUAAUCAUAUAUACUCUAGCAUGCAUUCUAUGAUGCCGACAUGCAUCUACAUUUAACAUAGCCUACAUUAUCAUCGUGCAUGUUAUACAUGUAUAGCUUUUCUCAUCAUGUCAAUAAGCAUUAUCCUCUCGCAUGCAUUUUCAUAAGGUCAAUAUGCUCUUGUCAUCUAACUUGUAUUCACAUGAUGCACUUAUGCAUUUUAUCCAACCGCACUUACAUGCUCUAUUAUGAGUUGACAUGAACUAGCACUUGCAUAUAAUUCCAAUGCAUCAACAUGCCAUUAGCAACUAGCAUAAUUACUAUCAUUUAGUACAUGCAUCUUAACUAACAUGCUCACAUAAUGUUACAUGCACCUAGCAUACAUUCCAAUGCACAAAUAUAUCGCUUGUAUCUAGUUACUAGCAUGUACUUCCCAAUGCAUUAUUAUGCAAUUAUCACUAAACAUUACCCAACAUGAUCUCAUAACUCAUAAGGUUAACAAUAGGUUAACAUUCAUUUAUAUGCUCAUGUUCUCUAAUACAUGUCAACAUGAAUCUCAUAAUGCUAAAUGCCCCAAGCAUGUAUUUCACUAAGCAUACAUACUAAUAUGCAAAUUACCAACUAGCAUGCAUUUAUACAAUGCAAAUAUGCCCGUAUGCACAUACAUAUAUGCAUCAACCAAAAAUCUAUAUUUCGCUUUGACAUGUGGGGCGACCAAGUCGCUUCGGUAAGCACAACCCACCUCGAUUCGCGUUCCGAUUGCUU
This 18980-nucleotide long non-coding RNA is filed under the name Ananas comosus (pineapple). RNAcentral describes it as "long non-coding RNA (ACOM_LNC043906)". The record is from RNAcentral. Lineage: Eukaryota; Viridiplantae; Streptophyta; Magnoliopsida; Poales; Bromeliaceae.